CCCUUAGACGUUCUGGGCCGCACGCGCGCUACACUGACCAGUGCAACAAGCAUCCGUCCUUGGCCGACAGGCCCGGGCAAUCUUUGAACGCUGGUCGUGAUGGGGAUAGACUUUUGCAAUUUUUGGUCUUCAACGAGGAAUUCCUAGUAAACGCAAGUCAUCAACUUGCAUUGAUUACGUCCCUGCCCUUUGUACACACCGCCCGUCGCACCUACCGAUUGAAUGGUCCGGUGAAGCCUCCGGAUUGGCGCGCACCUCGGUGCCGCCGAGAAGUUGGCUAAACCUUACCAUUUAGAGGAAGGUGAAGUUGUAACA
Molecule: ribosomal RNA, 315 nt
Filed under: uncultured eukaryote
Lineage: Eukaryota
Description: partial 18S ribosomal RNA
Rfam family: Eukaryotic small subunit ribosomal RNA
Source: RNAcentral